AUUGAACGCUGGCGGCAUGCCUUACACAUGCAAGUCGAACGGUAACAGGUUAAGCUGACGAGUGGCGAACGGGUGAGUAAUGUAUCGGAACGUGCCCAGUCGUGGGGGAUAACUGCUCGAAAGAGCAGCUAAUACCGCAUACGACCUGAGGGUGAAAGCGGGGGAUCGCAAGACCUCGCGCGAUUGGAGCGGCCGAUAUCAGAUUAGGUAGUUGGUGAGGUAAAGGCUCACCAAGCCGACGAUCUGUAGCUGGUCUGAGAGGACGACCAGCCACACUGGGACUGAGACACGGCCCAGACUCCUACGGGAGGCAGCAGUGGGGAAUUUUGGACAAUGGGCGCAAGCCUGAUCCAGCCAUGCCGCGUGCGGGAAGAAGGCCUGCGGGUUGUAAACCGCUUUUGUCAGGGAAGAAAAGGUUCUGGCUAAUACCUGGGACUCAUGACGGUACCUGAAGAAUAAGCACCGGCUAACUACGU
RNAcentral lists this ribosomal RNA (476 nucleotides) under uncultured bacterium. Its description in RNAcentral is "partial 16S ribosomal RNA". It matches the Rfam family "Bacterial small subunit ribosomal RNA", at positions 30 to 506 of the family's 1533-position model. The record is from RNAcentral.